UACGAAGGGGACUAGCGUUGUUCGGAUUUACUGGGCGUAAAGCGCGCGUAGGCGGAUCACUAAGUCAGGGGUGAAAUCCCGAGGCUUAACCUCGGAACUGCCUUUGAUACUGGUGAUCUGGAGAUCGGGAGAGGUUGGUGGAAUUCCGAGUGUAGAGGUGAAAUUCGUAGAUAUUCGGAGGAGCACCAGAAGCGAAGGCGGCCAACUGGCCCGAUACUGACGCUGAGGCGCGAAAGCGUGGGGAGCAAACAGG
Molecule: ribosomal RNA, 253 nt
Filed under: uncultured bacterium
Lineage: Bacteria
Description: partial 16S ribosomal RNA
Rfam family: Bacterial small subunit ribosomal RNA
Source: RNAcentral